GCCCCGGUGGCGAAACGGCAGACGCGGAGGAUUUAAAAUCCUCUUCCUUCGGGAGUGCGGGUUCGACCCCCGCCCGGGGCAC
Molecule: transfer RNA, 82 nt
Filed under: Deltaproteobacteria bacterium
Lineage: Bacteria; Pseudomonadati; Myxococcota; Myxococcia
Description: tRNA-Leu
Rfam family: tRNA
About the family: Transfer RNA (tRNA) molecules are approximately 80 nucleotides in length. Their secondary structure includes four short double-helical elements and three loops (D, anti-codon, and T loops).
Source: RNAcentral